This 74-nucleotide transfer RNA is filed under the name Bifidobacterium bombi DSM 19703. RNAcentral's name for it is "tRNA-Gly". It matches the Rfam family "tRNA". Rfam says of the family: Transfer RNA (tRNA) molecules are approximately 80 nucleotides in length. The record is from RNAcentral. Lineage: Bacteria; Bacillati; Actinomycetota; Actinomycetes; Bifidobacteriales; Bifidobacteriaceae.
GCGGAUGUAGCUCAAUGGUAGAGCCUCAGCCUUCCAAGCUGAUUACGCGGGUUCGAUUCCCGUCAUCCGCUCCA